Molecule: long non-coding RNA, 487 nt
Organism: Hippoglossus stenolepis (Pacific halibut)
Lineage: Eukaryota; Metazoa; Chordata; Actinopteri; Pleuronectiformes; Pleuronectidae
Exons: 3
Source: RefSeq, a predicted model, not a curated record
AUGAGAAGAGGUCAGUAAAGCUGUGUCGCGCCGGCGGAGGAGGAGGAGGAGGGGGAGGCUGGGAUGGAGGGCGGCUGUUGAAGAGCUCUUCUAAUGCUGAAACACAACAGAGGCCACCGACAACACUGAGUUCUCUGCUCUGCCUUGAUUGAUGCGUAUUCCACGAGGAGCUAAGUGGCUGCCUAUAAAACUGGAGCCGUGUGCUGGGACCACAUGCUGAAGAGCGGCUGGCAUGCUGUCUUUUAGAGAGAGGCCAAAAGAGGAGGGCAACGGGAGGUGCAAGGAGAAAACCUUCAGAAAUUCAACAUUUAUGUCGUGCUGUCACUUGGGGCCAUCAAAGAGCUUCAAGUGGGACUGGCAGACGGGGAGCGGAUGGCCCCUUUCUGGAUGAGGUCAAGUCGUGGCGGGACAGGAGGAAGGCCAAGGUGCUGGACGCAAUGACCGGGGUCCCCUAUAUGGGCUUUCCUGUGUUGGCUGACAGGUGAAG